This 373-nucleotide ribosomal RNA is filed under the name uncultured organism. RNAcentral describes it as "partial 16S ribosomal RNA". It matches the Rfam family "Bacterial small subunit ribosomal RNA", at positions 527 to 896 of the family's 1533-position model. The record is from RNAcentral.
GUAGGUGGCAAGCGUGUCCGGAAUUAUUGGGCGUAAAGCGCGCGCAGGCGGUUCGUUUAAGUCUGAUGUGAAAGCCCACGGGCUCAACCGUGGAGGGUCAUUGGAAACUGGAGAACUUGAGUACAGAAGAGGAAAGCGGAAUUCCACGUGUAGCGGUGAAAUGCGUAGAGAUGUGGAGGAACACCAGUGGCGAAGGCGGCUUUCUGGUCUGUAACUGACGCUGAGGCGCGAAAGCGUGGGGAGCAAACAGGAUUAGAUACCCUGGUAGUCCACGCCGUAAACGAUGAGUGCUAAGUGUUAGGGGGUUUCCGCCCCUUAGUGCUGCAGCUAACGCAUUAAGCACUCCGCCUGGGGAGUACGGCCGCAAAGGCUG